AUGCAUCUGUGCACAUUUGUGUUUAUGUUCCUUUUCUGGAUGUAGAAGGCAAUAUGUAACAGAGGAUUUUCUUGUUUUCUCUUUAGACAGCUACUAUUUGGUCCUACACUACAUAAUAUGAAUAAAGAUCAUACACUGAACUGUAGCGCUUACAUCAGAAAUGCCUUUUUCUCUGAGUUAGGCAUUGGGAUCUCAGCCAACAGCUGCCUUCUCCUCUUCCACACCUUCAUGUUCAUUCGUGGGCACAGGCCAAGACUCACUGACUUACCCAUUGGACUAAUGGCCCUCAUACACCUAGUGAUGCUGUUACUUGCAGCAUAUAUAACUGAAGACUUUUUUGGGUCUUCAGGACGAUGGGAUGACAUCACCUGUAAACUACUCAUUUUCUUUCACAGGUUUUUCAGGAGCCUUUCUGUUUGUGCCACCUGUCUUUUAAGUGUCUUCCAGGCCAUCAUCCUCUGCCCUCAAAGCUCUCACUUAGCUAAGUUCAAACACAAUUCCUCACAUCAGCUCUCGUGUUUCUUUAUUUUACUGAGUAUCUUCUACACAUCCAUCAGCAGCCAUAUUUUAAUAGCAGUUAUUGCCACACGAAAUCUCACCUCAGUUAAUCUUAUACAUAUCACGAAAUCUUGUUCUUUUAUACCCAUGAGAUCCUUAAUGCAGCACACCUUCUCCACACUGCUGGUUUUCAGGAAUGUCUUUCUUAUUGGUCUCAUGAGCCUCUCAACUUUCUACAUGGCUACUCUCUUGUACAGGCAUAAGACUCGGUGCCAGCAUCUUCAGAACUCAAACCUUUCUCCAAAAGCAACUCCAGAGCACAGAGCCCUCCAGUCCAUUCUAAUGCUUCUGAGCUUCUUCUUGGUGAUGUCAACUUUUGAUAGUAUCAUAUCCUACUCAAGAACUGUAUUCCAGGAAAAUCCAUCACUGUAUUGUGUCCAGAUCCUUGUAGCCCAUAGCUAUGCUGCGGUUAGUCCUCUGCUGGUUCUCAGUAAUGAAAGACGUGUAGCUAACCUGUUGAUAUCCAAGUAUGAGAGUAUAGUAAAAUUUGAAUUUUUGAGAUGGUACAUUUUCCUCCGAUGA
This is an RNA transcript of Grammomys surdaster, 1080 nucleotides long. It is a transcript of the gene named vomeronasal type-1 receptor 52-like, with no coding region annotated. Lineage: Eukaryota; Metazoa; Chordata; Mammalia; Rodentia; Muridae. The record is from RefSeq and is a predicted model, not a curated record. The transcript has a single exon.